AAAUUGAAGAGUUUGAUCAUGGCUCAGAUUGAACGCUGGCGGCAGGCCUAACACAUGCAAGUCGAACGGUAACAGGAAGCAGCUUGCUGCUUCGCUGACGAGUGGCGGACGGGUGAGUAAUGUCUGGGAAACUGCCUGAUGGAGGGGGAUAACUACUGGAAACGGUGGCUAAUACCGCAUAACGUCGCAAGACCAAAGAGGGGGACCUUCGGGCCUCUUGCCAUCAGAUGUGCCCAGAUGGGAUUAGCUUGUUGGUGAGGUAACGGCUCACCAAGGCGACGAUCCCUAGCUGGUCUGAGAGGAUGACCAGCCACACUGGAACUGAGACACGGUCCAGACUCCUACGGGAGGCAGCAGUGGGGAAUAUUGCACAAUGGGCGCAAGCCUGAUGCAGCCAUGCCGCGUGUAUGAAGAAGGCCUUCGGGUUGUAAAGUACUUUCAGCGGGGAGGAAGGUGUUGUGGUUAAUAACCGCAGCAAUUGACGUUACCCGCAGAAGAAGCACCGGCUAACUCCGUGCCAGCAGCCGCGGUAAUACGGAGGGUGCAAGCGUUAAUCGGAAUUACUGGGCGUAAAGCGCACGCAGGCGGUCUGUCAAGUCGGAUGUGAAAUCCCCGGGCUCAACCUGGGAACUGCAUUCGAAACUGGCAGGCUUGAGUCUUGUAGAGGGGGGUAGAAUUCCAGGUGUAGCGGUGAAAUGCGUAGAGAUCUGGAGGAAUACCGGUGGCGAAGGCGGCCCCCUGGACAAAGACUGACGCUCAGGUGCGAAAGCGUGGGGAGCAAACAGGAUUAGAUACCCUGGUAGUCCACGCCGUAAACGAUGUCUACUUGGAGGUUGUGCCCUUGAGGCGUGGCUUCCGGAGCUAACGCGUUAAGUAGACCGCCUGGGGAGUACGGCCGCAAGGUUAAAACUCAAAUGAAUUGACGGGGGCCCGCACAAGCGGUGGAGCAUGUGGUUUAAUUCGAUGCAACGCGAAGAACCUUACCUGGUCUUGACAUCCACAGAACUUUCCAGAGAUGGAUUGGUGCCUUCGGGAACUGUGAGACAGGUGCUGCAUGGCUGUCGUCAGCUCGUGUUGUGAAAUGUUGGGUUAAGUCCCGCAACGAGCGCAACCCUUAUCCUUUGUUGCCAGCGGUCCGGCCGGGAACUCAAAGGAGACUGCCAGUGAUAAACUGGAGGAAGGUGGGGAUGACGUCAAGUCAUCAUGGCCCUUACGACCAGGGCUACACACGUGCUACAAUGGCGCAUACAAAGAGAAGCGACCUCGCGAGAGCAAGCGGACCUCAUAAAGUGCGUCGUAGUCCGGAUUGGAGUCUGCAACUCGACUCCAUGAAGUCGGAAUCGCUAGUAAUCGUGGAUCAGAAUGCCACGGUGAAUACGUUCCCGGGCCUUGUACACACCGCCCGUCACACCAUGGGAGUGGGUUGCAAAAGAAGUAGGUAGCUUAACCUUCGGGAGGGCGCUUACCACUUUGUGAUUCAUGACUGGGGUGAAGUCGUAACAAGGUAACCGUAGGGGAACCUGC
This 1524-nucleotide ribosomal RNA is filed under the name Salmonella enterica. RNAcentral's name for it is "bacterial SSU rRNA". It matches the Rfam family "Bacterial small subunit ribosomal RNA". Lineage: Bacteria; Pseudomonadati; Pseudomonadota; Gammaproteobacteria; Enterobacterales; Enterobacteriaceae. The record is from RNAcentral. RNAcentral also lists the same sequence under 3 other names.